This 320-nucleotide ribosomal RNA is filed under the name Bacillus sp. CSeA15_60. RNAcentral's name for it is "bacterial SSU rRNA". It matches the Rfam family "Bacterial small subunit ribosomal RNA", at positions 57 to 366 of the family's 1533-position model. Lineage: Bacteria; Bacillati; Bacillota; Bacilli; Caryophanales; Bacillaceae. The record is from RNAcentral.
GCAGUCGAGCGAAUGGAUUGAGAGCUUGCUCUCAUGAAGUUAGCGGCGGACGGGUGAGUAACACGUGGGUAACCUGCCCAUAAGACUGGGAUAACUCCGGGAAACCGGGGCUAAUACCGGAUAACAUUUUGAACUGCAUGGUUCGAAAUUGAAAGGCGGCUUCGGCUGUCACUUAUGGAUGGACCCGCGUCGCAUUAGCUAGUUGGUGAGGUAACGGCUCACCAAGGCAACGAUGCGUAGCCGACCUGAGAGGGUGAUCGGCCACACUGGGACUGAGACACGGCCCAGACUCCUACGGGAGGCAGCAGUAGGGAAUCUUC